GGGCCAGGCCAGCGCUGUAAUACGUAGGUGGCAAUCGUUAUCCGCAUUUAUUGGGCGUAAAGCGCGCGUAGCCGGUUUCAUAAGUCUGAUGUGAAAGCUCACGGCUCAACCGUGGAGGGUCAUUGGAAACUGGAAAACUUGAGUGCAGAAGAGGAAAGUGGAAUUCCAUGUGUAGCGGUGAAAUGCGCAGAGAUAUGGAGGAACACCAGUGGCGAAGGCGACUUUCUGCUCUGUAACUGACGCUGAUGUCCGAAAGCGUGGGGAUCAAACAGGAUUAGAUACCCUGGUAGUCCACGCCGUAAACGAUGAGUGGUAAGUGUUAGGGGGUUUCCGCCCCUUAGUGCUGCAGCUAACGCAUCAAGCAUUCCGCCUGGGGAGUACGACCGCAAGGUUGAAACUCAAAGGAAUUGACGGGGACCCGCUCAAGCGGUGGAGCAUGUGGUUUAAUUAGAAGCAACGCGAAGAACCUUACCAAAUCUUGACAUCCUUUGACAACUCUAGAGAUAGAGCCUUCCCCUUCGGGGGCCAAAGUGACAGGUGGUGCAUGGUUGUCGUCAGCUCGUGUCGUGAGAUGUUGGGUUAAGUCCCGCAACGAGCGCAACCCUUAAGCUUAGUUGCCAUCAUUAAGUUGGGCACUCUAAGUUGACUGCCGGUGACAAACCGGAGGAAGGUGGGGAUGACGUCAAAUCAUCAUGCCCCUUAUGAUUUGGGCUACACACGUGCUACAAUGGACAAUACAAAGGGCAGCGAAACCGCGAGGUCAAGCAAAUCCCAUAAAGUUGUUCUCAGUUCGGAUUGUAGUCUGCAACUCGACUACAUGAAGCUGGAAUCGCUAGUAAUCGUAGAUCAGCAUGCUAUCGGAAACCC
Molecule: ribosomal RNA, 867 nt
Filed under: Staphylococcus aureus
Lineage: Bacteria; Bacillati; Bacillota; Bacilli; Caryophanales; Staphylococcaceae
Description: bacterial SSU rRNA
Rfam family: Bacterial small subunit ribosomal RNA
Source: RNAcentral